GUGGGUGUAGCUCAGUCGGUUAGAGCGCCGGAUUGUGGUUCCGGAGGCCGCCGGUUCAAAUCCGGUCAUCCACC
This 74-nucleotide transfer RNA is filed under the name Gemmatimonadota bacterium. RNAcentral's name for it is "Gemmatimonadetes bacterium (hydrothermal vent metagenome) tRNA-His". It matches the Rfam family "tRNA". Rfam says of the family: Transfer RNA (tRNA) molecules are approximately 80 nucleotides in length. Their secondary structure includes four short double-helical elements and three loops (D, anti-codon, and T loops). Further hydrogen bonds mediate the characteristic L-shaped molecular structure. tRNAs have two regions of fundamental functional importance: the anti-codon, which is responsible for specific mRNA codon recognition, and the 3' end, to which the tRNAs corresponding amino acid is attached (by aminoacyl-tRNA synthetases). tRNAs cope with the degeneracy of the genetic code in two manners: having more than one tRNA (with a specific anti-codon) for a particular amino acid; and 'wobble' base-pairing, i.e. permitting non-standard base-pairing at the 3rd anti-codon position. RNAcentral also lists the same sequence under 1 other name. The record is from RNAcentral. Lineage: Bacteria; Pseudomonadati; Gemmatimonadota.